GUCUGAGACGGCGCAGUCAGUAGAGCAUGAGACUCUUAAUCUCAAGGUCAUGAGCUCAAGCCCCAAGUUGGGCA
Non-coding RNA from Podarcis lilfordi (Lilford's wall lizard), 74 nucleotides. The record is from the annotation of a GenBank genome assembly. Lineage: Eukaryota; Metazoa; Chordata; Lepidosauria; Squamata; Lacertidae.